UGGGCGCAAGCCUGAUCCAGCCAUACCGCGUGGGUGAAGAAGGCCUUCGGGUUGUAAAGCCCUUUUGUUGGGAAAGAAAAGCAGCGGGCUAAUACCUUGCUGUUCUGACGGUACCCAAAGAAUAAGCACCGGCUAACUUCGUGCCAGCAGCCGCGGUAAUACGAAGGGUGCAAGCGUUACUCGGAAUUACUGGGCGUAAAGCGUGCGUAGGUGGUUGUUUAAGUCUGUUGUGAAAGCCCUGGGCUCAACCUGGGAACUGCAGUGGAAACUGGAUGACUAGAGUGUGGUAGAGGGUAGCGGAAUUCCCGGUGUAGCAGUGAAAUGCGUAGAGAUCGGGAGGAACAUCCAUGGCGAAGGCAGCUACCUGGACCAACACUGACACUGAGGCACGAAAGCGUGGGGAGCAAACAGGAUUAGAUACCCUGGUAGUCCACGCCCUAAACGAUGCGAACUGGAUGUUGGGUGCACUUUGGCACGCAGUAUCGAAGCUAACGCGUUAAGUUCGCCGCCUGGGGAGUACGGUCGCAAGACUGAAACUCAAAGGAAUUGACGG
Molecule: ribosomal RNA, 553 nt
Filed under: uncultured Stenotrophomonas sp.
Lineage: Bacteria; Pseudomonadati; Pseudomonadota; Gammaproteobacteria; Lysobacterales; Lysobacteraceae
Description: bacterial SSU rRNA
Rfam family: Bacterial small subunit ribosomal RNA
Source: RNAcentral